GUCUUUUUGCCUUUUCUAGGGCCGCUUCCCGCGGCACAUGGAGGCUCCCAGGCUAGGGGUCGAAUUGGAGCUGCAGCCACAGGCCUACACCAGAGCCACAGCAACAUGGGAUCCGAGCCGCGUCUGCAACCUACACCACAGCUCACGGCAACACUACAGCUCACGGCAACGCCGGAUCGUUAACCCACUGAGCAAGGCCAGGGAUCGAACCCGCAACCUCAUGGUUCCUAGUCGGAUUCGUUAACCACUGAGCCACGACGGUAACUCCUGCCUUGGAUGAGCUGUAGGCUCUGGGAACCAGGCUCCUGGAGUUUCCACUGGUGGCACGCAGCCCCCACAGGGCACCUAACUCACUGAGCUGCCUCUCCUCUGCGGUGGUCUCGCCCGAGGCUGUGGCCAUGCUCCUUGCUCUGUGCACCACACAGACAGCAGGGAUCAAUCUGUAAACUGACUGGUAAAUCCAAGCAUGUGCUUCUGAGCAGGGCUAGUUUCCCUGGAGCAUGACCCAUGCGGUCACACAGAGCCCAGUGCUCAGGGAGCCUGGACUUGGUUUAACGGGCUGCUGCCAUCAUCUUGAAAUCCCCAGUCAUUUGAAGUCCAAGGGGACAAUGGACCGUGUGCGUGAGCAGAUUCGUACAUCACUCGGGUCUGCCAUUCCUCGUCAUGCCAUUUGCACUGGAUGGUCACGGUGUCCACGAACACAGAGUUGCACCCACAAUGCAGAGGAAUUCAGCAAGAUGCAAAAAGGUACCAGUGCUGGAUCUGCAACCGAGCGACAGCCUCUGAGACACCAUGCUUUCUGUUUGAACCGCAUACUUGAUUCCAACUCAGAAGGAAGGCAGUGGCGUUAGAAGAAACACAGACCCACAAGGACCCAUAUCAUGUCCUUUUACACGAAACUUACUUCCCUACAUUUACUUCUGCUGAAAAUCAUGACAAAGAUGGGAAGGAAAAGAUAGGGGAACACAUAGCUCCUUUUUCUUGGUCCUUACUCAUGCAGAAGCUGAAGGGAGAGAGUGCUCAUGGAAUGUGCAAUA
RNAcentral lists this long non-coding RNA (1037 nucleotides) under Sus scrofa (pig). Its description in RNAcentral is "lncRNA (ENSSSCG00040012300.1)". Lineage: Eukaryota; Metazoa; Chordata; Mammalia; Artiodactyla; Suidae. The record is from RNAcentral.